CGAACGCUUGCGGCGUGCUUAACACAUGCAAGUCGAACGAGAAAGCCCCUUCGGGGGUGAGUAAAGUGGCGCACGGGUGAGUAACGCGUAGGUAAUCUACCCAGGUAUUUGGGACAACAUCGGGAAACUGAUGCUAAUACCGAAUACGUUUUCCAUGUAGCGAUACAAGGAAAAGAAAGGUGGCCUCUCUAUAGAAGCUACCGUACUUGGAUGAGCCUGCGUACCAUUAGCUAGUUGGUAGGGUAAUGGCCUACCAAGGCUACGAUGGUUAGCGGGUCUGAGAGGAUGAUCCGCCACACUGGCACUGGAACACGGGCCAGACUCCUACGGGAGGCAGCAGUGAGGAAUUUUGCACAAUGGGGGAAACCCUGAUGCAGCGACGCCGCGUGAGUGAUGAAGGCUUUCGAGUCGUAAAGCUCUGUCAAUAGGGAAGAAAUGCUAUGAGGUUAAUAUCUUCAUAGUUUGACGGUACCUAUAAAGGAAGCACCGGCUAACUCC
Molecule: ribosomal RNA, 498 nt
Filed under: uncultured bacterium
Lineage: Bacteria
Description: bacterial SSU rRNA
Rfam family: Bacterial small subunit ribosomal RNA
Source: RNAcentral